RNAcentral lists this ribosomal RNA (1399 nucleotides) under uncultured bacterium. RNAcentral's name for it is "16S ribosomal RNA". It matches the Rfam family "Bacterial small subunit ribosomal RNA". The record is from RNAcentral.
UUCGCCCUUAGAGUUUGAUCCUGGCUCAGGAUGAACGCUGGCGGCGUGCCUAACACAUGCAAGUCGAACGAAGCACUUUCUGCUCUUCGGAAUGGGAAGUGACUGAGUGGCGGACGGGUGAGUAACGCGUGGGUAACCUGCCUCAUACAGGGGGAUAACAGUUGGAAACGACUGCUAAUACCGCAUAAGCGCACAGUGUCGCAUGACACAGUGUGAAAAGUUUUUUCGGUAUGAGAUGGACCCGCGUCUGAUUAGCUGGUUGGUGAGGUAACGGCUCACCAAGGCGACGAUCAGUAGCCGGCCUGAGAGGGUGGACGGCCACAUUGGGACUGAGACACGGCCCAAACUCCUACGGGAGGCAGCAGUGGGGAAUAUUGCACAAUGGGGGAAACCCUGAUGCAGCAACGCCGCGUGAAGGAAGACGGUUUUCGGAUUGUAAACUUCUUUUCUUUGUGAAGAAACAAAUGACGGUAGCAAAGGAAUAAGCAUCGGCUAACUACGUGCCAGCAGCCGCGGUAAUACGUAGGAUGCAAGCGUUAUCCGGAUUUACUGGGCGUAAAGGGAGCGCAGGCGGGACUUCAAGUUGGAUGUGAAAUGUCAAGGCUUAACCAUGGCACUGCAUCCAAAACUGUAGUUCUUGAGUGGAGUAGAGGUAAGCGGAAUUCCGAGUGUAGCGGUGAAAUGCGUAGAUAUUCGGAGGAACACCAGUGGCGAAGGCGGCUUACUGGGCUCUAACUGACGCUGAGGCUCGAAAGUGUGGGGAGCAAACAGGAUUAGAUACCCUGGUAGUCCACACUGUAAACGAUGAUAGCUAGGUGUGGGGGGUCUGACCCCUUCCGUGCCGGAGUUAACGCAAUAAGCUAUCCACCUGGGGAGUACGAUCGCAAGAUUGAAACUCAAAGGAAUUGACGGGGGCCCGCACAAGCAGUGGAUUAUGUGGUUUAAUUCGAAGCAACGCGAAGAACCUUACCAGGUCUUGACAUCCAACUAACGAGAUAGAGAUAUGUUAGGUGCCCUUCGGGGAAAGUUGAGACAGGUGGUGCAUGGUUGUCGUCAGCUCGUGUCGUGAGAUGUUGGGUUAAGUCCCGCAACGAGCGCAACCCCUAUCCUAUGUUACCAGCGGGUAAUGCCGGGGACUCAUAGGAGACUGCCAAGGACAACUUGGAGGAAGGCGGGGAUGACGUCAAGUCAUCAUGCCCCUUAUGUCUUGGGCUACACACGUACUACAAUGGUCGGCAACAGAGGGAAGCGAAGCCGUGAGGCAGAGCAAACCCCAGAAACCCGAUCUCAGUUUGGAUUGCAGGCUGCAACUCGCCUGCAUGAAGUCGGAAUCGCUAGUAAUCGCAGGUCAGCAUACUGCGGUGAAUACGUUCCCGGGCCUUGCACACACCGCCCGUCA